Molecule: ribosomal RNA, 854 nt
Filed under: Mycena sp.
Lineage: Eukaryota; Fungi; Basidiomycota; Agaricomycetes; Agaricales; Mycenaceae
Description: partial large subunit ribosomal RNA
Rfam family: Eukaryotic large subunit ribosomal RNA
Source: RNAcentral
GGAUUCCCCUAGUAACUGCGAGUGAAGCGGGAAAAGCUCAAAUUUAAAAUCUGGCAGUCUCUGGCUGUCCGAGUUGUAAUUUAGAGAAGUGUUACCCGCGCUGGACCGUGUACAAGUCCUCUGGAAUGGGGCGUCAUAGAGGGUGAGAAUCCCGUCUUUGAUACGGACUACCAGUGCUUUUGUGGUGCGCUCUCGAAGAGUCGAGUUGUUUGGGAAUGCAGCUCAAAAUGGGUGGUAAAUUCCAUCUAAAGCUAAAUACAGGCGAGAGACCGAUAGCGAACAAGUACCGUGAGGGAAAGAUGAAAAGAACUUUGGAAAGAGAGUUAAACAGUACGUGAAAUUGCUGAAAGGGAAACGCUUGAAGUCAGUCGCGUCUGCUGAGAAUCAGCCUUGCUUGCAUGGUGUACUUCUCAGUUGACGGGUCAACAUCAGUUUUGAUCAUUGGAUAAGGGCCAGAGAAAUGUGGCACCCUCGGGUGUGUUAUAGUCUCUGGUCGUAUACAGUGGUUGGGACUGAGGAACUCAGCACGCCGCAAGGCCGGGUUUUUAACCACGUACGUGCUUAGGAUGUUGACAUAAUGGCUUUAAUCGACCCGUCUUGAAACACGGACCAAGGAGUCUAACAUGCCUGCGAGUGUUUGGGUGGAAAACCCGAGCGCGUAAUGAAAGUGAAAGUUGAGAUCCCUGUCGUGGGGAGCAUCGACGCCCAGACCUGAUGUUUACUGACGGCCCUGCGGUAGAGCAUGUAUGUUGGGACCCGAAAGAUGGUGAACUAUGCCUGAAUAGGGUGAAGCCAGAGGAAACUCUGGUGGAGGCUCGUAGCGAUUCUGACGUGCAAAUCGAUCGUCGAAUUUG